AUAAAUCACAGAAAACGGAAACGUGUUAGUUGAUUCAUAAUAUUAUUUGUGCAAAACAAAUAUUACAAGAUAUAGAUGCUCGUGGGAAUUGGUCAAUUGGAUAAUGGAAAGGCGUAAUUAAGGGUGUAAAUCACGUGGAUUAAGUCUUUUUCAUAUUAGAAGUGGUCGUGUUUCCACUUAUAUACGGAAACUGAACAACGCCAAUAUAUAUGAACGGAAACUUAGGUUUCGAAUUCUAACAUGAUUCUAAUAUAAUAAUAUUUUGUACAUGGAAAUGUUUUCACUUAUCUAAAUGUGUGGCAAACAUAUUUACCAGAGUAAUACCAAGUGGAACUUUGUUCUUCAACGCACAUAACUAACUUCAUAAACAAUCCUGCCAGGAUUAUCCUGGAUCAUAAAUUAAGGGGUAAGACUAAAUGUUUUUUUUUGCUUGCGAGGUAUUGGUGCAUGAUAUUUCCUAACAUAAUGUUCUAUUUAGUAUGUGUGUUCUUGAUAUUAGCUUGGCAAAUGCAAAUGCCGUUGGUCGCACGUCUAAACUUUGGAAUAUUAACUUUUUAUAUAAAAACGAACAUAAUAUUAACUUUGUAGUGAAUAUGUCAGGCUGGAAUAUGUUCAACAACUUUGAAAAAAGAAAAUGAAGAAGAAAAUUUUCAACGAGUUUAGCCACACACAUAUUUACUGAGCAAAUGUAAAUCUAAUCUCCGAAGAAAAAGUUGUACAUAUUUACGAAUUAACAGUACAAAAGAUUAAUUAAAUUUGCUUGGCAAAAGAGAGAAAAUAAUGAAAUUUGUAGGUUUCACUAACCCACAUUAUACAAAUAUUUUUGGAUAGGUCGAAGCUGACCCUACAUCUCUCUCGCUUAUCUUUGAAUUUAAAUACAAAAAAUUAGAUGGAGCGACAAUUCCGCCGAUGGUAGCACGUGGUUUCUAGUACAUCCGUUAGAUGAUAAGACAGACAUACAUAUGGGGACCCAGUUAUAUUAUUUCCAUUAUUGGACUCACGACGAUACGUGGCGAAUUCUAUGAAUUAAAGAGAGAGAGGUCAUAUCGGACGAGAAUCGAAUUUUGACAUGUAGGGAACAAUGUAUUUCACUCCUUAUAUACAAACGAAAAUUAACAAGCUUACAAGUGCGGAUAAAUAAUCAAAACCUCACUAGGAGGAUGGGUGAUCAACAUGAUCGUACUUUGGUUAUGCAAUGAGAAUGAAACUGUGCAUUUUAGCUUUCUGACUAGCUAGCAACUUGCAUGGAAGAAACAGCUAUGAUGAUACACAGACCGAGCAAGAUGAGACUACUUGUAGAAAGAUUAGAGACAAAAGUUGUAAUAGAUGGAUCCAUUGGACUCCGGUAUCGUUCCUGCCGUGAAAUGCCAUUCAAAGACAAAGGAAUGCCUGAGCAAAACGUGCCAAAGCUGCUCAACGAUUCUUGGGUGGGAGAGAGAGAGAGAGAGAGAGAGAGAGAGAGAGGAUAGACUGAAGAAUUUAUUAAUGCCAUUCGACAGGAUCAUAUAAAAAAAACAUCCUGUUUUUAGUUGCAGAGUUGCGAUUUUGUGAUCAAUCAGUUGAGACUUUGCUAAAAUAAAAUAUGACAUCAUUCA
Molecule: long non-coding RNA, 1595 nt
Organism: Brassica napus (rape)
Lineage: Eukaryota; Viridiplantae; Streptophyta; Magnoliopsida; Brassicales; Brassicaceae
Exons: 2
Source: RefSeq, a predicted model, not a curated record